Molecule: transfer RNA, 72 nt
Filed under: Ictidomys tridecemlineatus (thirteen-lined ground squirrel)
Lineage: Eukaryota; Metazoa; Chordata; Mammalia; Rodentia; Sciuridae
Description: Spermophilus tridecemlineatus (thirteen-lined ground squirrel) tRNA
Rfam family: tRNA
About the family: Transfer RNA (tRNA) molecules are approximately 80 nucleotides in length. Their secondary structure includes four short double-helical elements and three loops (D, anti-codon, and T loops).
Source: Rfam by way of RNAcentral
GGGGGUGUGGCUCAGUGGCAGAGCGCUUGCCUAGCAUGUGUGAGGCACUGGGUUCAAUUCUCAGCACCACAU